UGGGGAAUUUUGGACAAUGGGGGCAACCCUGAUCCAGCAACGCCGCGUGAAUGAAGAAGGCUUUCGGGUUGUAAAGUUCUUUUGUCUAGGGGUAAGUGUAAUUGUUUAAGAGAUGAUUAUAUUGAGAGUACUAGAAGAAUAAGCACCGGCUAACUACGUGCCAGCAGCCGCGGUAAUACGUAGGGUGCGAGCGUUAAUCGGAAUUAUUGGGCGUAAAGAGUGCGUAGGCGGAUAUAUAAGUUAGAUGUGAAAUCCCUGAGCUUAACUUAGGAGUGGCAUUUAAGACUGUAUGUCUAGAGUAUGUUAGAGGGUGGUAGAAUUCCAAGUGUAGCAGUGAAAUGCGUAGAGAUUUGGAGGAAUACCGGUGGCGAAGGCGACCAUCUGGGGCAAUACUGACGCUGAGGCACGAAAGCGUGGGGAGCAAACAGG
Molecule: ribosomal RNA, 429 nt
Filed under: uncultured bacterium
Lineage: Bacteria
Description: bacterial SSU rRNA
Rfam family: Bacterial small subunit ribosomal RNA
Source: RNAcentral